AGAAACGAGAAACCUUUACCAGGUCUUGACAUCCUUAGACCACUCUAGAGAUAGAGCUUUCCUUUGGGGGACAAAGUGACAGGUGGUGCAUGGUUGUCGUCAGCUUGUGUCGUGAGAUGUUGGGUUAAGUCCCGCAACGAGCGCAACCCUUAUUACUAGUUGCCAGCAUUUAGUUGGGCACUCUAGUGAGACUGCCGGUGACAAACCGGAGGAAGGUGGGGACGACGUCAAAUCAUCAUGCCCCUUAUGACCUGGGCUACACACGUGCUACAAUGGAUGGUACAACGAGUUGCGAGACCGCGAGGUUUAGCUAAUCUCUUAAAACCAUUCUCAGUUCGGAUUGUAGGCUGCAACUCGCCUACAUGAAGCCGGAAUCGCUAGUAAUCGCGGAUCAGCAUGC
Molecule: ribosomal RNA, 400 nt
Filed under: Latilactobacillus sakei
Lineage: Bacteria; Bacillati; Bacillota; Bacilli; Lactobacillales; Lactobacillaceae
Description: bacterial SSU rRNA
Rfam family: Bacterial small subunit ribosomal RNA
Source: RNAcentral